Molecule: ribosomal RNA, 373 nt
Filed under: uncultured bacterium
Lineage: Bacteria
Description: bacterial SSU rRNA
Rfam family: Bacterial small subunit ribosomal RNA
Source: RNAcentral
ACAGAGGUCCCAAGCGUUGUUCGGAUUCACUGGGCGUAAAGGGUGCGUAGGUGGCCAGGUAAGUCUGAUGUGAAAUCUCGAAGCUUAACUUCGAAACUGCAUUGGAUACUAUCUGGCUGGAGGAUCGGAGGGGAGACUGGAAUUCUUGGUGUAGCAGUGAAAUGCGUAGAUAUCAAGAGGAACACCAGUGGCGAAGGCGAGUCUCUGGACGAUUCCUGACACUGAGGCACGAAAGCUAGGGGAGCAAACAGGAUUAGAUACCCUGGUAGUCCUAGCCGUAAACGGUGCAUAUUUGCUGUAAAAGGAAUCGACCCCUUUUGUGGCGUAGCUAACGCGUUAAAUAUGCCGCCUGGGAAGUACGGUCGCAAGAUUA